Molecule: long non-coding RNA, 718 nt
Organism: Dreissena polymorpha
Lineage: Eukaryota; Metazoa; Mollusca; Bivalvia; Myida; Dreissenidae
Exons: 3
Source: RefSeq, a predicted model, not a curated record
AAUGGUUGAAGAUAUGCCAAACAAAUUGUGCCUUUCUAUACAGACAGAUUUCAGGUCUCAAUUUCAACUUCAAAGGUCAACAUAUCACUGAUAUCAGGAAUUCUGUGAAACUGUGGCACCAUGUAUGGUACGUGAGCGCACAAUGUCUGUUGGAAAAAGGAUAUUGGAAUAAGCAAAGGGACUCAACAUUACACAGUCAUUUCAACAUGUAGAGUCUUGUCAGCAAAGAUGGAGCAGUACAUCAGAUUUCCAGAAUCUCGUCAUGAGCUGAAGAUCAUUGCCUAUGGAUUUCAUGAAUGAUGUAAAAUGAUUUGACUGUUGAUGGAACCCACAGUGCAUGUCCUGCUUCAACAUCUGAGCAUAGGUCCUUGUUUAUCAGCAGUUUAGUUCUUCAAGCAGUCUGUGACAGUAACUUGAAAUGUUUGGACAUAUGUCCUGGAUGGCCAAGUUCUGUUCAUGAUGCCCAUUUAAAUAGAAACGGCCCGGUGGCGCAUUAAAUGGACAAUUUUUCGAAUGUUCUCGUGGAUUCAGCUUACCGCCUGACAAGAAAUCUUGCUUUUUGUUCCGUAUCGAGGCCAUGGACAUUUGUAUCAUUUGCAAAAGAUACUGCGAUAUUUGUGUCUUUGUUCAUGCUUUAUAGUUGAUUAACAAUUGGAAGCCAUAACCUGUUUAAUAGGAUGGUGUUAGUGGGACAAUGAAUUUUGUAAAGAUUUAAAGA